GGGUGACAGUAUUCUAGACAGUGUGAUAGGGUGACAGUAUUAGAGACAAUGUGAUAGGGUGACAGUAUUCUAGACAGUGUGAUAGGGUGACAGUAUUCUAGACGGUGUGAUAGGGUGACAGUAUUCUAGAAGGUGUGAUAGGGUGACAGUAUUAGAGACUAGACAGUGUGAUAGGUUGACAUUAUUAGAGACUAGAGAGUGUGAUAGGGUGACAGUAUUAGAGACUAGAUAGUGUGAUAGGGUGACAGUAUUAGAGACUAGACAGUGUGAUAGGGUGACAGUAUUAGAGAUUAGACAGUGUGAUAGGGUGACAGUAUUCUAGACAGUGUGAUAGGGUGACAGUAUUCUAGACAGUGUGAUAGGGUGACAGUAUUCUAGACAGUGUGAUAGGGUGACAGUAUUCUAGACGGUGUGAUAGGGUGACAGUAUUCAAGACUAGACAGUGUGAUAGGGUGACAGUAUUCUAGACGGUGUGAUAGGGUGACAGUAUUCAAGACUAGACAGUGUGAUAGGGUGACAGUAUUCUAGACAGUGUGAUAGGGUGACAGUAUUCUAGAC
This is a long non-coding RNA of Oncorhynchus tshawytscha (Chinook salmon), 558 nucleotides long. Lineage: Eukaryota; Metazoa; Chordata; Actinopteri; Salmoniformes; Salmonidae. The record is from Ensembl.